AAGUAAAAGUCGUAACAAGGUUUCCGUAGGUGAACCUGCGGAAGGAUCAUUACAAGAGUUUAUUCAGUGGCGAAUGCCCUGAACAUCUCCACCCUUUGUUUACACUACCUUUGUUGUUGCCUUGGUGGGUGCCUUUUGGCACCUGCCGGCAGACACCUUUAAAACCCUUUUUAUUAGUAUAGUCAGAGCUGUAACAAGCAAAAGAUUAAUAAAUCAAAACUUUCAACAACGGAUCUCUUGGUUCUGGCAUCGAUGAAGAACGCAGCGAAAUGCGAUAAGUAAUGUGAAUUGCAGAAUUCAGUGAAUCAUCGAAUCUUUGAACGCACAUUGCGCCCUUUGGUAUUCCGAAGGGCACACCUGUUCGAGCGUCAUUACACCAAUCAAGUCUUACUUGGUAUUGGGUCAUGUCCCUAGGGACAGGCCUUAAAGUCAUUGGCGGCAUAGUCUGGCUUCAAGCGUAGCAAAAAACAUCGCUUUUGGGGACCUUACUAGUACUUGCUUAAUGAAUUAUCAUUUUUUCAAAGGUUGACCUCGGAUCAGGUGGGGAUACCCGCUGAACUUAAGCAUAUCA
RNAcentral lists this ribosomal RNA (571 nucleotides) under Pseudorobillarda phragmitis. Its description in RNAcentral is "eukaryotic LSU rRNA". The stretch from base 218 to 371 matches the Rfam family "5.8S ribosomal RNA". The record is from RNAcentral. Lineage: Eukaryota; Fungi; Ascomycota; Dothideomycetes; Pleosporales.